This is a small nuclear RNA of Sceloporus undulatus (fence lizard), 157 nucleotides long. RefSeq annotates it as U1 spliceosomal RNA. Lineage: Eukaryota; Metazoa; Chordata; Lepidosauria; Squamata; Phrynosomatidae. The record is from RefSeq and is a predicted model, not a curated record. The transcript has a single exon.
GUCCUUUCCUGGCAGGGGAGAUACCAUGACCAUGAAGGUGAGGUACCUCCAUUGCAAUGUCCCAAGGUGAGGUUCAUCCAUCGCACUUUGGAUGUGCUGACUCCUGUGAUUUCUCCAAAUGUGGAAAACCAAACUGCAUAAUUUGUGAUAGCUGCAU